RNAcentral lists this ribosomal RNA (450 nucleotides) under uncultured bacterium. RNAcentral describes it as "partial 16S ribosomal RNA". It matches the Rfam family "Bacterial small subunit ribosomal RNA", at positions 338 to 795 of the family's 1533-position model. The record is from RNAcentral.
CCUACGGGUGGCAGCAGUGGGGAAUUUUGGACAAUGGGGGCAACCCUGAUCCAGCCAUGCCGCGUGCGGGAAGAAGGCCUUCGGGUUGUAAACCGCUUUUAGCCGGGAAGAAAAGGCGAGGGAUAACACCCUUCGUUCUUGCCGGUACCGGCGGAAUAAGCACCGGCUAACUACGUGCCAGCAGCCGCGGUAAUACGUAGCGUACGAGCGUUGAUCGGAGUUACUGGGGGUAAAGCGUUAACAGGCGGUUGAAAGCCCCGGGCUCAACCUGGGAAUGGCAUUGGAUACUGGCGGGCUUGAGUGUGGCAGAGGGGGGUGGAAUUCCGCGUGUAGCAGUGAAAUGCGUAGAGAUGCGGAGGAACACCGAUGGCGAAGGCAGCCCCCUGGGCUGACACUGACGCUCAGGCACGAAAGCGUGGGGAGCAAACAGGAUUAGAUACCCUGGUAGUC